UGCCUAAAGUGGCAUUAUUGACUGCUGGU
Molecule: non-coding RNA, 29 nt
Filed under: Homo sapiens (human)
Lineage: Eukaryota; Metazoa; Chordata; Mammalia; Primates; Hominidae
Source: RNAcentral